CGCGAAUGGCUCAUUAUAACAGCUUUAGUUUACGAGACGUAGACACGAUCCUACUUGGAUAACUGUGGUAAUUCUAGAGCUAAUACAUGCAUUAAAGCUCCGACCUCACGGGAAGAGUGCACUUAUUAGAACAAAACCAAGCGGCUUCGGCUGUUUUCGGUUGACUCAUAGUAACUGAGCUGAUCGCACGGUCUUGCACCGGCGACGUGUCUUUCAAGUAUCUGCCGUAUCAACUUUUGAUGGUAGUGUAUCUGACUACCAUGGUGAUCACGCGUAACGGAGAAUAAGGGUUCGGCUCCGGAGAGUUCGCCUGAGAAAUCGCGAACACAUCUAAGGAAGGCAGCAGGCGCGAAAAUUACCCACUCUCAGCACGAGGAGGUAGUGACGAAAAAUAACGAGACCGUUCUCUUAUGAGGCCGGUCAUCGGAAUGGGUACAAUUUAAACCCUUUAACGAGUAUCUAUGAGAGGGCAAGUCUGGUGCCAGCAGCCGCGGUAAUUCCAGCU
This 505-nucleotide ribosomal RNA is filed under the name Pseudacrobeles sp. OH-2016. Its description in RNAcentral is "SSU rRNA". It matches the Rfam family "Eukaryotic small subunit ribosomal RNA", at positions 88 to 590 of the family's 1831-position model. Lineage: Eukaryota; Metazoa; Nematoda; Chromadorea; Rhabditida; Cephalobidae. The record is from RNAcentral.